Molecule: small nuclear RNA, 107 nt
Organism: Marmota marmota marmota (Alpine marmot)
Lineage: Eukaryota; Metazoa; Chordata; Mammalia; Rodentia; Sciuridae
Source: Ensembl
GUACUUGCUCUGGCAGCACAUAUACUAAAAUUGGAACAAUAUGGAGAAGAUUAACAUGGCCCCUGCGCAAGGAUGACACGUAAAUUCAUGAAGCGUUUCAUAUUUAA